GCUGGGUGUGGUGGUGCACACCUGUAAUCCCAGCUACUCAGGAGGCUGAGGCAGGAGAAUUGCUUGAGCCUGGGAGGUGGAGGUUGCAGUGAGCUGAGAUCAUGCCACUGCACUCCAGCCUGGCAACAGAGCAAGAAUCUGUCUCAA
Molecule: unclassified non-coding RNA, 147 nt
Organism: Pongo abelii (Sumatran orangutan)
Lineage: Eukaryota; Metazoa; Chordata; Mammalia; Primates; Hominidae
Rfam family: Metazoan signal recognition particle RNA
About the family: The signal recognition particle (SRP) is a universally conserved ribonucleoprotein.
Source: Ensembl